Molecule: unclassified non-coding RNA, 819 nt
Filed under: Hevea brasiliensis (rubber tree)
Lineage: Eukaryota; Viridiplantae; Streptophyta; Magnoliopsida; Malpighiales; Euphorbiaceae
Source: RNAcentral
GGAUGAGUUUGUCCAAGCAUUUCAUGAUUAUGAUCCAAGGCUACUAGGUGAGAUACAUUUUGCACUUUUGAGAACCAUAAUUAAAGAUAUUGAAGAUGUUGCAAGGACACCUGCCACUGGGUUGGGUGCAAAUCAGAACAGUGCUGCUAAUCCUGGAGGUGGACAUCCACAGAUUGUGGAAGGGGCGUAUGCAUGGGGUUUUGAUAUACGCAGCUGGCAACGUCACUUAAAUCCGUUAACAUGGCCUGAAAUAUUGCGACAGUUUGCCCUUUCUGCAGGAUUUGGGCCACAGCUGAAGAAAAGAAAUGUAGAGCCGGCAUACCUUCGUGAUGAUAAUGAGGUUAAUGAUGGUGAAGAUGUAAUUACUAACUUACGUAGUGGAGCAGCAGUUGAAAAUGCUGUUGCCAUAAUGCAAGAAAGGGGAUUUUCUAAUCAACGCAGAUCUAGGCAUCGCUUGACACCUGGUACUGUCAAAUUUGCUGCGUUUCAUGUUCUUUCUCUUGAAGCAAGCAAGGGUCUGACAAUAUUAGAAGUUGCAGAAAAGAUACAGAAAUCUGGACUAAGAGAUCUCACAACGAGCAAGACACCAGAAGCUUCAAUUGCUGCUGCUUUGUCAAGGGAUUCAAAACUUUUUGAGAGAACAGCUCCUUCAACGUAUUGUGUGCGUCCUGCCUAUAGGAAGGAUCCAGCGGAUGCCGAGCCAAUACUUUCUGCAGCCAGAGAAAGGAUCCGGAUAUUUAAAAGUGGUUUUGUAGAUGGAGAAGAUGCUGAUGAAGCAGAAAGAGAUGAAGAUUCUGAAAGUGAUGUUGCAGAUGAUCC